CACAGGGACUACAGGUGGAUACACAAUAGGUGGUGUCACAAUUGGUGGUGUUGGUACUACAGGUGGAUAAACAAUGGGUGGUUUUGGCACAUAAGGUGGUGUAACUGGCACAACUGGUGGUUUUGGGAUAUAUGGUGGUCUAACUGGGACAACAGGUGGUUUUGGGACAUAAGGAGGGUUCACAAUUGGUGGUUUUGGAACAUAUGGUGGUGUAACUGGCACAACUGGUGGUUUUGGGACAUAGGGAGGGUUCACAACUGGUGGCUUCGGGACAUAGGGUGGUUUAACAACUGGUGGUUUUGGGACAUAAGGUGGAUGUGGAUGCAGUGGAGGCUUAGGGUGAGGUUUUGGGACAUGGGGUGGAUGUGGAUGAACUGGUGGUUUAGGGUAGUGAGGAGGUUUUGGGACAUAGGGUGGGUGUACAUGGGGUGGUUUUGGAGAUGACUUGGGUGGUGGACAUGGUUUUGGUUGUUUGUGAACUGGUGGUUUCACAAUGGGAGGCUUUUUUGGAGGAGGCUUGGGAG
RNAcentral lists this long non-coding RNA (524 nucleotides) under Glycine max (soybean). RNAcentral's name for it is "long non-coding RNA (GMAX_LNC004552)". The record is from RNAcentral. Lineage: Eukaryota; Viridiplantae; Streptophyta; Magnoliopsida; Fabales; Fabaceae.